GGCGGCGUGGUUAAGACAUGCAAGUCGAACGGGACUUUGUUGGUAGCAAUAUUAAUAAAGUCUAGUGGCAGACGGGUGCGUAACACGUGAACAAUCUACCAUAAAGUGGGGAAUAGCUCGUCGAAAGGCGAAUUAAUACCGCAUGUGGUUAAUUCCUGCAUGGGAGUUAAACUAAAGUCAGGGACCGCAAGGCCUGACGCUUUAUGAGGAGUUCGCGGCCUAUCAGCUAGUUGGCGAGGUAACGGCUCACCAAGGCAAAGACGGGUAGCUGGUCUGAGAGGAUGAUCAGCCACACUGGAACUGAGACACGGUCCAGACUCCUACGGGAGGCAGCAGUGAGGAAUAUUGCGCAAUGGGGGCAACCCUGACGCAGCAACGCCGCGUGAGUGAGGAAGGUUUUCGGACCGUAAAGCUCUGUCGAGCGGGAAGAAAUGCAUGGUGGCUAAUAUCCAUCAUGCUUGACGGUACCGCUAAAGGAAGCACCGGCUAACUCCGUG
RNAcentral lists this ribosomal RNA (497 nucleotides) under uncultured bacterium. RNAcentral's name for it is "bacterial SSU rRNA". It matches the Rfam family "Bacterial small subunit ribosomal RNA", at positions 38 to 507 of the family's 1533-position model. The record is from RNAcentral.